Molecule: long non-coding RNA, 1047 nt
Organism: Pollicipes pollicipes
Lineage: Eukaryota; Metazoa; Arthropoda; Thecostraca; Pollicipedomorpha; Pollicipedidae
Exons: 2
Source: RefSeq, a predicted model, not a curated record
UGCCGGCGGCCGGCGGCGCCGCGGCGCCGCCCCGCCGGCCCGGCACGCCCGGCGGCCGCCGCCGUGUCGACGACCACGCCGUCCAGAAGAGCAAGCAGGACAUGCAGAACUGCUUCGGCUUCGAUGACGACGAAGAUGUGGAUCUGCUGGAGAAGAAGGAUAUUUUUUGAGGCAUUUUACUACGUGGUGACUGGUGCCCCCCAUCUAGUGAGCUUUUUUACAAUCUUUGUGGGACCGCCCAGUUCUUAGUUAAUGCGCAAAGGGAAGCCUCGGUUCCAUUCCAUAAGACAUUCUCGACUGAAAUUUGGUGUCUCAGUGUUUUCGUUGCGUACUAGACAGUGGCGAAUAUUGCAUGUCUGCAGUUGGAUUUGUUCGAUUGCGUUCUGGGUAUUUCCUUGGUAAAUCUGGAUGGCCCUGGGGGCGGUGUGAAUGAUGUGAUGGUUGUAUGUGAAUGGUUUUCUUUAUCUUAGAUCUGUUAGCAAUGUGCAACACAGACGCAAAAGUACCUCUAAAAUACUGGGGUUCGCGGAGUGAAGCCAAACAUGAUGCUCAUAAUGCGAUUGCGGUUCCCGCGAAGGAGAGGAACAACACCGACAGACGUCCAUCCAAUUAGUGGCGGAGGCCCAAAACAUCCUCGAGAACUUGUUUUGACCGCUAAUUGGUGGUGCGUCUGCUCCAGCUCCGAAUAACCUGAGCAGCUCAUUUUGUUUUCCCCCAAAGUAAAUGCCAUUUGAACCUGCAUGAGAGGGAAUGCCAAACGCGUGGGGGCCGGCCGAGUUAGAAGACGGCGCGAAUUCGUAGGCUAAGCUGCACACAGAACGGUACGCCAGCACCCAGCUGGCGCGGCCGAACUGUACUCGUUUGGCACCUAUUUGUCGUUCGUGGUGGUACAGGCUGGUUUCUGUGACGGUUUAUGAGUGCCCUACAUUCGGGGGCGGCCGGAGCGAUGCGGCUCUUGUGAAUAAGCGUUCUGGCAUCGCCGUCGCCGCGGCCGCCUGGCUUUGGAUGUAUGUACGCGCGCGAUAAAUAAACGUUGGAAAAUCGCUA